Molecule: transfer RNA, 71 nt
Filed under: Labilithrix sp.
Lineage: Bacteria; Pseudomonadati; Myxococcota; Polyangiales; Labilitrichaceae
Description: tRNA-Gly
Rfam family: tRNA
About the family: Transfer RNA (tRNA) molecules are approximately 80 nucleotides in length. Their secondary structure includes four short double-helical elements and three loops (D, anti-codon, and T loops). Further hydrogen bonds mediate the characteristic L-shaped molecular structure. tRNAs have two regions of fundamental functional importance: the anti-codon, which is responsible for specific mRNA codon recognition, and the 3' end, to which the tRNAs corresponding amino acid is attached (by aminoacyl-tRNA synthetases). tRNAs cope with the degeneracy of the genetic code in two manners: having more than one tRNA (with a specific anti-codon) for a particular amino acid; and 'wobble' base-pairing, i.e. permitting non-standard base-pairing at the 3rd anti-codon position.
Source: RNAcentral
GCGGGCAUCGUCCAACAGUAGGACUGCAGUCUUCCAAACUGACAAUGAGGGUGCGAUUCCCUCUGUCCGCU